This 200-nucleotide unclassified non-coding RNA is filed under the name soil metagenome. Its description in RNAcentral is "partial contains internal transcribed spacer 2 and large subunit ribosomal RNA". The record is from RNAcentral.
AGCGUCGUUAAAGACCAUAAGGCUUUGCCUUGCGAUGAGCUUCUUGGUGUCUCUCUUGACGUCAGGGGCUUCAAACUGAUUGGCGUCUGAAGUUAGGCCAAGCACAGCGAUAUGUGUUCUGUGUCUAGCUGAGGAUUGCCGGUACCCAAAAUCAUUAAUUGGUCGACCUCGGAUCAGGCAAGAUUACCCGCUGAACUUAA